UUUUUUUUUUUUUUUUUUUUUGUUCUUUUUGAGACAGGGUCUCACUCUGUCACCCAGGCUGGAAUGCAGUGGUGCAAUUACAGCUCACUGCAGCCUCAAACUCCUGGGCUAGGGCAUUCCUCUCACCUUAGCUAGGACCACAGGCGCACUCCACCAUGUCUGGUUAAUUUUUUCAUGUUUUGUAGAGACAAGCUCUUGCUUUGUCACCCAACCAGAAGCCAGGUUGGUGUUGAACUCCUGGGCUCAAGAGAUCCUCCCGCCUCAGCCUCCUGAACUACUGGGAUUACAGGCGUGAGCCACCUCGCCCAGCCUCAGAUAGUCCCUUAAAGGGCGAUUAGAAAGCUGAGGGCAAAGACAGAGCUGGACACAAAGGACAUGUGAUCAAAGCCGACUGCUUCGAUGGGCAGUGAAGGCCAUUGAGAAGCCUCCUAAUGUAAACACUGUUCAUCCGUUUAUCAAUUGUUGGAAUUAAUCUUGCAGAUAAAGCACAGGAGUCUUCAGUGUGGGCGUGGGAGGGAGUAUAAAUGUUCCACACUUUGCCAGUGGGAAAAUGGGAAGUACAAGUGGCGAGAGUGGGCGUACUGGUCUUUCUGCCUCCCCCAGUGUGAGUCCCAGGACAUUGCUGAGGGUCCAGAAGUCUAAGUUAACUGAGAAGGAGCAACAUGAGCUUAUUCUUUAGAGGUACUGACCUGUCUCUGAUUCACUCUGGGAAAUAGGGCUAAGGACAGGCAGGAAGAGGGCAGGGGAAUCUGGAUUUUCCGUGAAAGCCUUACCCAUUUGAUGUUAAAUAUAUGCAUGUGCUAUUUCAAUUAAAAACCUAAUUCUUUCAAAAAGAUAUCAGACCCAGAAUUUAAGCAUAUCAAAAGCGGGAGUUUCAUAUUUUAAGCUCCUAUCCUUCUCUUUGAUACGGUUAAAAAGCUCUGCAUCCUAAUGAAGUCGGCUGUCAGUAGGAUGGGCUGGCAGCCACAGCGUAAAGCCUCCCCCAAAACCUGACACAAGAAUCUACAUCCCCAUCGAGCAGAAGCCAGCUUUAGGUAUGCACCAUUCCAAGUGUCUUUCUCAUGCAGAUAAACUGGGAAGGGAUUACAGGUGUGAGAUCAUAGCAUACUUGCCCCUUUCAGUAUAAAGACUUUUGAACUGUAACAACAACAAUGAAAAAUACACUACUCGAGCUUUGGAAAUAGCAAUCUUUCUUCUCUUGAUCUUCUUGCCAAAGACUCUUGCUUUCCUUCCAAGACAACCUCCUCAAAGCAGUUACAAUGAUCUGAUCAUGAAAUCCUAUCAUGUCACUCCCUGGCUCAAAAUCCUUCUUGGCUCUCCGUGGGUUACAGGACAAAAUUUACACCCAGCUGCUGGCCCCUUUUAGCUUGGGUUCAUUUCCCACUUGCCACAUUGCAGUUUCCUCAGGCAAACUGAGUUUCCACAGUUUCACUCAUCACAACCUUGCAGGUGCUGUUGCUCUUGCCCACAAUGUCCUCCUUAUCUCUGGCCAGCCCAACAGACUCAGCAUUUCUGCUUCCAAGAUUCAUCUCAAGUCCUGCCUCAGUGGGAAUGCCCCCUGAUUUGUCCCGAUGGACUUACCCCUCUAAUAAUCAUUGCAUUGAAUUUUCUUUCUCUCUCUCUCUCUCUCUCUCUCUCUCUCUUUCUCUCUCUCUUUCUUUCUUUCCUGAGACAGAGUUCUGCUCUGUGGCCCAGACUGGAGUGUAGUAGUAUGAUCUCAGUUCACUGCAAUCUCCACCUCCCAUGUUCAAGCAAUUCUUGUGCCUCACCUGCUGCUAAUCCACUCUUGAUGAUUAAACUCCCAACCCACACAGAGGCAACCCUUCCCUAUUGCAGAUCAGGUCUGUGGGAGGGCUGCACGGCGGGCCUUGAACCCGUACUUCUCUUCCAGGCCCAGCAGAUGCAUCCCAAGCAAGCUGAACUGGGUGCAGGGCAAGUCGCACGGGAGCAUCUCCACAAAAAGUAAAGAGUUCCAAACUCCAAAUGCUUGACCCCACCCUUAGAAUCAUCUCAAUCCAGUGACAUUCCACAGAGAUGAAAGAAUGCGAAUGAUCCUUGACGAUGCCAGAUGAGACUCGAUAGAAUCUGCGGUGCAAAAGAAAGAGACAGCCACCUUCUAAUUCCACCUCCACAUUUCUUAGAGAUUAAUGAUGAGGGUGAACUACUUGGCAAAGGAAUCCUUUCCAGUGUUAAGAGUCUAUAUGAUUCCAGGAAAAUCCAAAGCAGUAUUGGGUCCUACCUAUUUAAUAUGUACCCCAGGAACUCUGGCACAGGUAACCUUGAAAGGCAUCCUCAACUGCUCUGCUCUGAGUUCCUGAGGGCUGGGUAGCCUGCGGGUGCCAUUAUCAGACUUAUCUCCCCAGGCUCUUCCGCAUUGCAUGUCUCAACCAACCUACCUGGAACCCUGGAGGAAGAGAUCACCUCUAGACAGGAGAGCAUACCAGUUAGGACACAUAGAGGGUCUUUCAAAUCCCGGUAUGCCCUGCUACUGGUUAGCUGUAAACCUUGGGAAGACACUUAGCUCUCUGCCUCAGUUUCUCCAUCUGUACAACAGAGAAAUUACUAUGGAUCAACCACUGCAACUGUUGUGAAGAUUAAGUAUACAGGUUGAAUACAGAUGCAGAGUGCUCAGAGCAAAGCCUGGUGACAGAGCUAUCUACAAGCUCACUAACAGACAAGGAAAGCAAGAUCCAAGAGGAGGCCAGUGACCAGCCUCAUUUUGCAGACAUGGGGCUCACACUUGGAUCCCAGGACUCCAGAGCUGGGAAGAGAAAAACCAAAGUGACGUGUACCAUGAGCUUCUACAACUGUAAAGCACCCUUGCUCCUUCAAUGACGAUUUACCGAGCACUGAUUUUGCUAUAGCCCCAGUACCAGUGUGCCUACCCUGGGGCUCACAAGCCAAUUACAGAGCAACUAGCGCUCCAGCAGGGACCACAUAACAAGACCCCAUCUAUACUAAAAAUAAAACAAAUUGGCUGGGAGUGGUAGCACAUACCUGCAAGUCCCAGCUACUCGGGAGGCUGAGGCAGGAGCAUCCCUUGAGCCUGGGAGAUAGAGGCUGUUGUGAGCUAUGAUCAUGCCACUGCCCUCCAGCCUAGGCGACAGAGUGAGAAAGACAGAGAGAAUAACCAGCACUUAUUGAGCACCUACAACAUGCCAGCUCUGGGAAAGCCUACGUUCACGUCAUUCUACUCUCACAACAAGGUAAGGAUCUAGCGAGUACUAUUUAUUUUCUAGUUUUACAGAUGAGGACAUGGAGGUUCUAGAGGGUAAGUAACUUGCUGAGAUCUCAGAGUUUUGAAGCGGAAGACGGGGAAUUCAAAUCAACGCUGCUGGAACUGCAGAGCGCACCCUUAUCCAUUAUGCAUGACUGCCUUCCAACAGAUGUCAGCAAUUUUUUGUGGCUUCUGGUGGUCUCUCACCGAAUAUCUGAAUAACACAGAACGCCAGCAGAGCCCUCAUUUAUAAAAAGCCCAGGCGCUGAGCCUGACGUAAUACAUGAAUGAAUAAAUCCUGCUGAUGAACCAGGUCCCUCUCCUGCAAGAGAGACCUGCCUGCUCUCCCUUCUUACAAUCUGGGUCUCAAGUGUGGAUAGAUGUCAGGCAGGGGGCAGCACAGGAAUUAACAGCUAUUGAUUCCUCAUUGAGAUAUCCGGAGCAGGGUGGGGCCUCUUGGGAGCCCCUUCUAUUCAGUUGCGAUAUUUUUCUGUUUUUGAAAGGCUUAUCUUGGCAGGGAGGUAUCCAAGCUCAAGGGGCCAGAAAGCACACGUCUACAGGAGGAGGCCCCAACAGGCCUACAUUUCAAGCCCAAAAUGGGAAGCCCGGAAGGAAGUGGGGUGAAAUCCCACCUGGGUAAGUCAAGAUCACCUUGAGGAAAGCCACAAUCCAGCCGGACUAUGAUCCUGCCUGGCGUCUUUGGCCCAUGUUGAGGGGAAGUAAACUGGGCCCAGGUUGUUUCCCUUCUGCUACUUACUGCCCCUCUCCUGGGCGUCAGUUCUGCCUCCGCAAGUGUAACUGAUCUUUAAACACCAACAGGAACAAGGCAAACAGCAGGGAGCACUUACUCUGUGUUUAUUAUUUCCAGGCUGUGAGUUAAUCUCUGUGCACGCUGUAUCUUUCUCUCUCUCUUUUAUUUUUUCUGAGACAAGGUGUCACUCUGUUGCAGCUCACUGCAGCAUCGACCUCCCAGACUCAAGCAAUUAUCCCGUCUCAGCCUCUGGUAGCUGGGACUGCAGGCACAUGCCACCACACCCAGCUAAUUUUUUUUGUAUUUUUCAUUUUUGUAGAGACAGGGUCCAACUAUGUUGCCCGGGCUGGUCUCCAACUCCUGAGCUCAAGUGAUUCUCCUACCUCAGCCUCCCAAAGUGCUAGAAUUACAGGCAUGAGACACCAUGCCAGGCCUCUAUCUUAUUUAACCCUUAGGAAAAUACAGACUCAAUUCACAGACGGGGAAACUACUGAGGUAGAGAGAUUUUUAAGUUCAUGGCAUAAUAAAUUAAGUAGCCAGGCGUGGUGGCUCACGCCUGUAAUCCCAGCACUUUGGGAGGCCGAGGUGGGAGGAUCACGAGGUCAGGAGAUCGAGACCAUCCUGGCUAACACAGUGAAACCCCGUCUCUACUAAAAAUACAAAAAAUUAGCCAGGCGUGGUGGCAGGCACCUGUAGUCCCAGCUACUCCAGAGGCUGAGGCAGGAGAAUGGUGUGAACCUGGGAGGUGGAGUUUGCAGUGAGCCAAGAUCAUGCCACUGCACUCCAGCCUGGGCAAUAGAGCAAGACUCUGUCUCAAAUAAAAUAAAAAUAAAUAAAUAAAUAAAUAAAUAAAUAAACUAAGUAAUAAAAUGAGGCAAAGGCCCAGAAGGUCUAUGUCCCUCCUGUUCCAGAACAGCACUCUCAACCAUCACACCAGGGGCAUUUCUUUUGAGAUGACUGAUGAAGGUGAACUGCUUGGCCAAAGAAGUCCAUUCAAAAUUUGAGAGUCUACAAUCCUAGGAAAAUUCAACAGCAGUACUGGGUCCUAGCUAUAUACUCCGGAAAUUCUGGCAUAGGCAACCAGAUGUGUGAAAUGCCCACAGCACCACUGUUUGUAUCGGGAGGGGGUGGGGGGACACCUGCAAACAACUCACAUGUCCUUGGAGAACAGAUCAAUCAACUGUGGUCAGUCCACACAAUGGAACAGAUUAUCACAGUGAAAAAUAAGCUACAGCAGCAGGCAUCAGCAAAGACUUACCAACAUGAUGCAGAGUGGCAAGGAAGCUACAAGCAGCAUGGAAUUUCUGUAAAGCUCUUAAAAAAGUAAAGGAAACACCACAGUAUUUAAGAAUACAAACAGGAGGCCACAGGGUGGAUCACUUGAGGUCAGGUGAUCGAGACCAGCCUGGCCAACAUGGUGAAACCUCGUCUCUACUAAAAAUCAAAAAUUAGCCAGGCAUGGUGGCAAGCGCCUGUAAUCUCAGCUACUCAGGAGGCUGAGGCAGGAGAAUUGCUUGAACCUGGGAGGUAGAGGUUACAGUGAGCCGAGAUCAUGCCAUUGCACUCCAUCCUGGGUGACAAGAGCAAAACACUGUCUCAAAAAAAAAAAGAAAAAAGAAUACGCAUUUUUUUUUUCAUCCGUGACAUGAUAAACAUCAGCAUUCAAGAUAGGAGUUGGCCUGGCACAGCGGCUCACUCCUGUAAUCUCAGCACUUUGAGAGGCCGAGAUAAGAGGAUCUCUUGAGCCCAGGAGUUCGAGACCAGCCUGGGUAACGUAGCGAGAUCCUAUCUCAACAAAAAGAAAAUCAGGGCCACCAAUGAGGGAGAAUGCUCGGGGGGCAGGCCCGGGAGAAAACUGAAAAGAAGAUGGAGUUGGAGUCAACCAUCAGUGUUCAUAGUUUGGAUCCUAGGCAGGGUGGAGAGGUCAUGGGUAUUUAUUUACCAUUAUGCUUCCCAACUGGCCUGUAGGUGACAACUAUAAUUUUGUUUGUUUGCUUGUUUUGAGACAGAGUUUCCCUCUGUUGCUUAGGCUGGAGUGCAGUGGUGUGAUCUCAGCUCACCACAA
Molecule: long non-coding RNA, 6033 nt
Organism: Macaca mulatta (Rhesus monkey)
Lineage: Eukaryota; Metazoa; Chordata; Mammalia; Primates; Cercopithecidae
Source: Ensembl